GGCGCUGUGGCUUAGUUGGUCAAAGCGCCUGUCUCGUAAACAGGAGAUCCUGGGUACAAAUCCCAGCAGUGCUU
RNAcentral lists this transfer RNA (74 nucleotides) under Danio rerio (zebrafish). It matches the Rfam family "tRNA". From Rfam's summary of the family: Transfer RNA (tRNA) molecules are approximately 80 nucleotides in length. Their secondary structure includes four short double-helical elements and three loops (D, anti-codon, and T loops). Lineage: Eukaryota; Metazoa; Chordata; Actinopteri; Cypriniformes; Danionidae. The record is from Rfam by way of RNAcentral.